Molecule: long non-coding RNA, 918 nt
Organism: Nomia melanderi (Alkali bee)
Lineage: Eukaryota; Metazoa; Arthropoda; Insecta; Hymenoptera; Halictidae
Source: RefSeq, a predicted model, not a curated record
CGUCGGGUCCUGGUGCCGUUUUCCGCGCGACAAUGGCUGAAUUUUCGGAAACACGGAGCUCGGCUAACCGCGUGCACUCGCGUGUUCCACUUCGACGGUAAUUAGGUUACGGUGGGAGAUAAACAAAGACGGCGUUCUGUUACAUCCUCCUAACUUGAGUCGCGAGGAGAUGCACCCUGCCACUCUUCUACUGGGCUGACGAAGAGUGCCUUACGAGCUUGUUGCCGUUUAAUCAACUAUCAACGAAAAGUAAUCUCGAUCAGAACUGACAUUACGUUCUCGCUAACUCAAUGCUGCGAAACGUUUCGAGCAAAUCGUAACGUCAUAUUUACUACGACGUAAACUAUAUUUUCCAUCAGAUCGCACGUACAACAUAUCUGGAACUUCAAUUUUACGAUCUUCCCGAGAGAUCAGCGAUUUCGUCACCGGCAAAAAGCGACUGACGCCACCCGAAAAUCGAGCCUCUUAUCUCGCAUGAACUGGAUAUUUUGUGGAGUUCUCCUCGGAAUAUAAGGCGUUCUCGUGACCGAGGGGUUGCUUGUGAAAAUGUAGAGGGCGAGUUGGAAUUCGAUGGCUCAAUCUAUGGACAAUCGGUCGAAUGACAUUCCCGGUACAGUUUUUUCAGCCGCUCCAAUUUCCGUUACUUCCAUUCGCCGGCACGACCGUAGAGCUACGGGUCUCGAGAUUUUCCAGGCGACUGUUAAAAAUACACUUCCAUUUUCCUCUUUCCUUUCUGCCAACGAUUGCACGCCGGAAGGGAUACGAAAACGAAGCGUGAAAAUGUUCGCGAACGGUUGAUGCAUCUUCGAACAAAUAGUUAUGUGUUUUCUGAUUGAUUAAAGUUAUUCACCGGAUAAAAUUCUUGUUUAACGAGGGCGAGAAAGGUCGGAGAUCCAAUCUUGAAAUGGGUCAACAGUA